This 2004-nucleotide long non-coding RNA is filed under the name Populus trichocarpa (black cottonwood). Its description in RNAcentral is "long non-coding RNA (PTRI_LNC000132)". The record is from RNAcentral. Lineage: Eukaryota; Viridiplantae; Streptophyta; Magnoliopsida; Malpighiales; Salicaceae.
ACUAAGAACUUUUUAGUGCAAUACAGAAAGCAGCAAGGUGACGAUGAUGAAAGGUAUUAGCUUUCAGAGCUGUAGGAUGCUUCGCCUGCUGACAAAUUCUCUCUCUGAUGACGCUUCAUCUCCUCAUAUGCCCAUUCAAGACCGGUGCAGUAAUGGAGUGGCGGGUUAAAUCUGCUAUCAUUCAUAUCAUCUGGCAAGAAUGCACCGUUCUCUAUUAGAAAUUUGACUGCUUCUUUCUUCCUUUCCUUUGCAGCACGGUGAAGUGGUGUCCCUGUGAAAUGUGAUAAAAUAUGUAUCAGCUACCACAGUUACAGAAUAUAAAUUGAGAAGAGAAACAAAGGAGGGCAGAGAGGGAGUUAGGUGCUUGAAAACUCUCUUCCAUGAGUUGAAGAUACUUACAACCACAGGCACCCAGGGUUCUAGCAUCAAUAUUAGCACCACGAGCAAGCAAUUCAUCCAUAAUCUCAAGGUGACCACCCUGAGCAGCAAGGUGGAGCGCGGUCAGGCCUUUUGAUUUUGGGCCCCAUGCAGGCACAUUAACAUCCAUUCCUUCAUCGAGUAAAUGUUUCACCUGUUAAAAAAAAUCUUCAAUCAACAAACAAUACUCAUUACCCACAGUCUAAUUCUUUGCACAGCUUCCUUCAGUACAAAAGAGCGCCUCUUGAUAUUUACACAGAAGCUUGCGUAAGUGAAAAUAUACACAAACACAAUGAUGCAAAGCAAAUAAAGUUAAAAUGAGAGGAUAAUAUAACAUAAACAAAAUAAAAAACUGGCUCUCGAGGAACCCCAUUCUUCUAUCUAAUUUUCCACCCCUAGAAUGGAAGAGAUAGAACAGAUUAUUGUACCAACAACUACAGGAAAGCAUGUGUAUGUAGCAGAUUGUGGAAGAUCUAAUGUAGGCAUAGGCAUAAAGGGAGAGUGGGGACUUUUUUUUCUCAAAUUACUUCAAAUGAAAAGGAGACUUCUAUGGCGAAAGAUCUCAUCUUGGUGUUUAGGGUGCCAGCUAAUUAAAGUUGUUCAAUGCCAAAAUAGCUACCAAUAAUCAGACCAGAACCUUCCAAUAAUUGUUCAAAAUAACUAGCGGGGAUUAACUAACUAAUUCAAGAAUCCAAACACUUUAUCCUCAUUGAGCCACGAAUUUUUGAUCUCCAAUCCACUAAAAUAAAGUCAGUAACUAAAGACAAGGUUACAACUUUGAAAGAAAGAAAGAACACUAUUUUGCAGCUUAUAAAGAAAUUCCCGUCAUAUUGCCCUGGCAAACAACAACUCGUAAAAAGACUCAAGUAAAUCAUUGGGCAUCCAUUAACAUAAACAAUAUAUAAACUAUACAACUCCUCAUCAAUAUAAAGUAUAAACACCAGAGUCGCAACAAGUAGCAAACUUAACAAGCUCCAGAGCAAAACAAAAAAGAGUGAGAGAAAAUAAAUAAAGCCAAAAAAAGAAAGGAAGAUACAAUAAUUACCUGUUUGAGAUCACCUUUUCUAGCACCAAUAUGAAGCGAAGUCCAACCUCUAUCAUCUCUGUCAACACCCCCAACUGACCUAAACGACCGUCUUCUCGACAAGUUACGCCUCAACGAAACAGCAACACAAUCUUCCUGUGGCAUAAUUUUUAAUUUCAACAAAAAUACGCACACGCACACAGAGAGACCAAAAUCAAACACAAUCCGACAAUUAGCGUGCGCCUGUUCUUUUUCAAUCAAGUCCUCAAUAAGAUCCAAUUAGCUUUUUUUUAAUAAAAAAAACAGCAAGAAAGCUCAGCAAGAAAAAAGGCAAACGACAGAUUUACAUGUUCAGUUUUCAAAGAAAAGACAAUCGAUUUAGCGAGAAGUUGAGUAAUGAUCAACACAAUAAGGAGAGAAAGGAUUGAGGCCGGGACCGAAAACACGAAGAUUUUCACAGAUAAGAAAGGCGAGAGGUGAAGAGAUUAUAAUCAUAGUAAGAAUAUGGAUUUUUGUGAACCCUAAUUGGUAUUUAAGAGGCGAUUAAUUUUUCAAUGAAUCCG